GUGGUGGCUCAGUGGUAAAGCACUUGCCUAGCACGCAUGAGGCACUGGGUUCGAUCCUCAGCACCACA
RNAcentral lists this transfer RNA (68 nucleotides) under Ictidomys tridecemlineatus (thirteen-lined ground squirrel). RNAcentral's name for it is "Spermophilus tridecemlineatus (thirteen-lined ground squirrel) tRNA". It matches the Rfam family "tRNA". From Rfam's summary of the family: Transfer RNA (tRNA) molecules are approximately 80 nucleotides in length. Their secondary structure includes four short double-helical elements and three loops (D, anti-codon, and T loops). Lineage: Eukaryota; Metazoa; Chordata; Mammalia; Rodentia; Sciuridae. The record is from Rfam by way of RNAcentral.